This 495-nucleotide ribosomal RNA is filed under the name uncultured bacterium. RNAcentral describes it as "bacterial SSU rRNA". It matches the Rfam family "Bacterial small subunit ribosomal RNA", at positions 903 to 1397 of the family's 1533-position model. The record is from RNAcentral.
AAAGGAAUUGACGGGGGCCCGCACAAGCGGUGGAGCAUGUGGUUUAAUUCGAUGCAACGCGAAGAACCUUACCUACUCUUGACAUCCAGCGAAUCCUUUAGAGAUAGAGGAGUGCCUUCGGGAACGCUGAGACAGGUGCUGCAUGGCUGUCGUCAGCUCGUGUUGUGAAAUGUUGGGUUAAGUCCCGCAACGAGCGCAACCCUUAUCCUUUGUUGCCAGCACGUAAUGGUGGGAACUCAAAGGAGACUGCCGGUGAUAAACCGGAGGAAGGUGGGGAUGACGUCAAGUCAUCAUGGCCCUUACGAGUAGGGCUACACACGUGCUACAAUGGCAGAUACAAAGAGAAGCGACCUCGCGAGAGCAAGCGGAACUCAUAAAGUCUGUCGUAGUCCGGAUUGGAGUCUGCAACUCGACUCCAUGAAGUCGGAAUCGCUAGUAAUCGUAGAUCAGAAUGCUACGGUGAAUACGUUCCCGGGCCUUGUACACACCGCCCGU